UGCUCAGCCGCGCCGAACUCCAUCCGCUGACGCACGGGACCACGACCGAACAACUCGGAUGGAGGCGGGGGACCCAACCGGUCCGCCGAAUAGCAGCGGACUCGGAGCCUUUCGGCUCCUUGGGGUGAAGCCGUCGUCGUCAUCUCGACGAUGCCGGCCGGGCGACCUCUCCAGCCCGAACCCGACAGCUGACCUCGCGGGCGCCGACGAGAGGACCU
RNAcentral lists this small RNA (218 nucleotides) under Mycobacterium sp. Its description in RNAcentral is "c-di-AMP sequence". The stretch from base 34 to 218 matches the Rfam family "c-di-AMP riboswitch aptamer (ydaO/yuaA leader)". From Rfam's summary of the family: This family represents a conserved RNA structure found upstream of the ydaO and yuaA genes in Bacillus subtilis and related genes in other bacteria. Lineage: Bacteria; Bacillati; Actinomycetota; Actinomycetes; Mycobacteriales; Mycobacteriaceae. The record is from RNAcentral.